AGCGAACGCUGGCGGCAGGCCUAACACAUGCAAGUCGAGCGCCCAGCAAUGGGAGCGGCAGACGGGAUAGUAACACGUGGGAACGUACCUUUCAGUUCGGAACAACCCAGGGAAACUUGGGCUAAUACCGAAUACGUCCGUAAGGAGAAAGAUUUAUCGCUGAAAGAUCGGCCCGCGUCUGAUUAGCUAGUUGGUGAGGUAAUGGCUCACCAAGGCGACGAUCAGUAGCNGGUCUGAGAGGAUGAUCAGCAUCACUGGGACUGAGACACGGCCCAGACUCCUACGGGAGGCAGCAGUGGGGAAUAUUGGACAAUGGGCGCAAGCCUGAUCCAGCCAUGCCGCGUGGAUGAUGAAGGCC
Molecule: ribosomal RNA, 358 nt
Filed under: uncultured bacterium
Lineage: Bacteria
Description: bacterial SSU rRNA
Rfam family: Bacterial small subunit ribosomal RNA
Source: RNAcentral